Molecule: ribosomal RNA, 224 nt
Filed under: uncultured bacterium
Lineage: Bacteria
Description: partial 16S ribosomal RNA
Rfam family: Bacterial small subunit ribosomal RNA
Source: RNAcentral
GAUCCUGCUCAGGAUGAACGCUAGCUACAGGCUUAACACAUGCAAGUCGAGGGGCAGCAUGGUCUUAGCUUGCUAAGGCCGAUGGCGACCGGCGCACGGGUGAGUAACACGUAUCCAACCUGCCGUCUACUCUUGGACAGCCUUCUGAAAGGAAGAUUAAUACAAGAUGGCAUCAUGAGUCCGCAUGUUCACAUGAUUAAAAGGUAUUCCGGUAGACGAUGGGG